RNAcentral lists this ribosomal RNA (169 nucleotides) under uncultured Beijerinckiaceae bacterium. Its description in RNAcentral is "partial 16S ribosomal RNA". It matches the Rfam family "Bacterial small subunit ribosomal RNA", at positions 338 to 524 of the family's 1533-position model. Lineage: Bacteria; Pseudomonadati; Pseudomonadota; Alphaproteobacteria; Hyphomicrobiales; Beijerinckiaceae. The record is from RNAcentral.
CCUACGGGAGGCAGCAGUGGGGAAUAUCGGACAAUGGGCGCAAGCCUGAUCCAGCCAUGCCGCGUGAGUGAUGAAGGCCCUAGGGUUGUAAAGCUCUUUUGUCCGGGAAGAUAAUGACUGUACCGGAAGAAUAAGCCCCGGCUAACUUCGUGCCAGCAGCCGCGGUAAU